Molecule: long non-coding RNA, 1102 nt
Organism: Rosa chinensis
Lineage: Eukaryota; Viridiplantae; Streptophyta; Magnoliopsida; Rosales; Rosaceae
Exons: 4
Source: RefSeq, a predicted model, not a curated record
AUCACUCGGUUUCCAAAUUUAGAAACCGAGCGUUUCUCUCUCUUCCGCUCGAGGCCGAGGACGACGGCAAAACAGAGCAAGCUUCGCCGGCUUUGUUCUUCCACCUCCGGCCACCUCUGGACGAGCCAACGCCUCCAUCAGCUUCGCCUCACUCCUCCGAAGCCAUCUAUGGCAACCUUGCACGGCGGCACGGCCCUAGCGGCGGCAGCGGCCCGGUUUCGAUUAAAGCUCGAUUUUGGUCAACGCCGGUUUUCUCCUAGCUCCGGCCACCAAAACUUCCGAUCCUUGGCUCCAUGAACUCGCCUCAACCUGCUGAUCAUCAUACUAGGAGGAUUGCACCUAGAGUGACCGGUUUCACGUUCGUCGGAGCUCGUGGGUUCGCCUUGAUGUUCUUAACAACUCUCUAGAAGGAAUCGAGGGCUGAAAUUGAAGUGUUUACUUCGAAAAUCGAGCUCGCCGGUUUCUGGAAAUUUUCCGGCCACCUUCAUACUGUUCAAGGUGAUUGACGGUCUUCCUUGGUGAGCGGUUUUGGCGUGUUUUGUGAGAUUGAAGACGCAGCGGGAUUAGAGUGGGGGAUGUAUAGAGUGUUGGGACGUAGUGCUCUGAGGACUGAGAGUCCGAAGAACGCCGGUUAAAUGAUAACCGAGAUGUAGUGCUCUGAGGACUGGGAGCCCGAAGAACGCCGGUUAAAUGAUAACCGACAUGUAGUGCUCUGAGGACUGAGAGUCCGAAGACCGCCGGUUAAAUAAUAAUCGAGAUGUAGUGCUCUGAGGACAGGGUGUCCGAAGACCGCCGGUUAAAUAAUAACCGAGAUGACAGGUAUCAAAGUAGUUAGAACUCUAACGUGUUGUUGGUGUUGGGUCCAAACAGUUGGGAUGGACCAAAGUGGUAGUAUUGUGGGGAGAGAUUUGUAGAAAAGUAUUCGUUGUGAUUUUUCCCGUGUUUUGUUUGAUGUUUUAUCACAAAUGGUUCGAUUGUUGAUUUUUACUUGAAAUAAAAUAAGUAUGAAUUAAAAUCAACAUUUCUUUCUUAUUUACUCACGAGCUUUGCAAAAAGCUUACCGGGUUUUGUGUUGUUGCAAUUCCCGGUACACUAUUCAAAU